Molecule: RNA transcript, 1592 nt
Organism: Tachyglossus aculeatus (Australian echidna)
Lineage: Eukaryota; Metazoa; Chordata; Mammalia; Monotremata; Tachyglossidae
Gene: ACYP2
Gene name: acylphosphatase 2
Exons: 6
Source: RefSeq, a predicted model, not a curated record
UCCAUGCCCGCGUUCCCGCGCCUCGCCGCCUCGUUCUCCCGCCUCCCGCCCCGGCUCCUCAGCGGCGCCGCCGCCGCCGCCAUGUCCGCCGCCGGGCUCAAAUCGGUGGACUACGAGGUGUCCGGCCGAGUGCAGGGCGUUUGCUUCAGAAUGUACACGGAGUCCGAAGCUAAGAAAAUGGGUCUGGUCGGUUGGGUCAAGAACACCCGCCAAGGGACAGUCAUCGGCCAAGUUCAGGGUCCUGUGGAGAAGGUGAAUUCCAUAACUUUGCCGGGCGCAUGUUUUGAUCCAAGUAAUUUCCCUGAGGAUGAAGUCUGCGCCAAGAUAAAAUCCAAAUACUUUAUAUGGCAACAAGAUGUAUUACAGGAGCGACAUAAACAAAAUCACCAUCGUAUACAGUGGCCAGGAAGACCUGGCUUACUAAGGUUGGAAGUCCCAGCUCUCACAUUUCCCGAACUGAUUUUUCUAACGAGAAGACCAUCUCGAAGCUCGAUUACUCCAGUUUUAGCAUCAAAUACUAACGGAGAAACAGCCUGCCGCUUAAAAUGCUUAGUAAGCUCCGUGACUUGUUUUAAUCCAUAAAAUGGAAUGGCAGCGCUUUUCGGUGUCUCCUGCGUUUGAUUAAGAAGAAAGCAUCAUCCAUUAUAAGGUGCCAUAAAAACCUGAAAAUGGCAAAGAUCACGUGGCUACAAAGGAUUAAGAAAAACCCACUGCAGGAUUCCGGCCAGAAAACGACCCCAGAAACUCACUUCGAAACUUCUUUCGUGGAGCUGGGUUCAACGAUCCCUACAUGACAUGAUCAAAAUCCAUAGCGGCACAUCAGAAUGUGAAAAAUGAUGGGGCGGAAGGUUAAAGUUAGCGGGUUUUCAAAUAUGGUACCCCAAAGAGCAUAGUGGGGUUUUAGUCACCCGAUUUCUCUACAUGACACCAAUCUGUCACUUUUCAUCUCCCUCAUGCUCUUUUGCCUUUCCCAGCAGUCUUUAUUCUUAGAAAACUAGAGGCAUUUUUGCCCUUAGAAUCCUCUCACUCGACAAAGUGAACCGGAUUAGUGAAGAGAGCUUAAUGAUAAUGCACAGCUCAGCAGUGCUACUGGUUGAAAACUAUUGUAAAUGCUGAUUGGGAGCUAUCACUUUCAGUUUGUGAGCUGAAAGAAAGCAUGAAAGGACUGUGCAAAUAGACCGAUUCAGGCCUGGGUUUUGUUUUUUUUUAUAGUUCAGCCUGAUGUGACAAAAUAAUGACCCCCCAAAUAAUUGUUGGAUUGGUUAAGCACUUACUGUGUGUCAAGCACUAUACUAAAUAUUGGAGGAAAUACAAGUUGGACAGGACAGACAUGGGGCCCUGGACCACCUAAGCAGGAGGGAGAACAGAUAUUGAAUCCCCAUCCUGCAAGUGAGGGAACCGAGGCCCAGAGACGUGAAGUGACUUGUCCAAGGUCACCCAGUGGACAAGUGACGAGUCGGGAUUAGAACCCAGAUCUGAUGACUCCCAGGACUGUUCUCUACAGGGCCACGGGGGAAGUAUUUCUUCCCUUUUAGCUCCUUGCAGACAGGGAAUGUGUCUGUUCUUUUGUUCCCUUGUUCUCUGCUCACAGU